UACGGAGGAUGCACGCGUUAUCCGGAAUUAUUGGGCGUAAAGCGUCCGUAGGUGGUUAAGUAAGUCUGCUGUUAAAGCGUGGAGCUUAACUCCAUAUCGGCAGUGGAAACUACUUGACUUGAGUGCGGUAGGGGUCAGGGGAAUUCCCAGUGUAGCAGUGAAAUGCGUAGAUAUUGGGAAGAACACCGGUGGCGAAAGCGCCUGACUGGGCCUGCACUGACACUGAGGGACGAAAGCUAGGGGAGCGAAAGGG
This 253-nucleotide ribosomal RNA is filed under the name uncultured bacterium. RNAcentral's name for it is "partial 16S ribosomal RNA". It matches the Rfam family "Bacterial small subunit ribosomal RNA", at positions 524 to 776 of the family's 1533-position model. The record is from RNAcentral.